UUUAGAUUUUUGGGGGGAAAGUGCCCCAUUUCUCACUUUCUGCGUCGACAUAUUUUGCCUUCGGAUUGUGUGACUGAAAUAACGGCUACAAGCGUUGGAUGGCGACGGAGGUCCACGAAUUGUGGCGGUAACAGUAGACACAAAGAAAAUGGCCAUUUAGUAGCCAGCAAUGAUUGGUGGAGGAGGUGAAGCAUAAGAAGAGCCAAAGUAAGCUGGAAGAGUGAUGUCUUCUUCUUCUUCUGGAGGAGGAGGUGAAAUAGUUGGUGUAGGUGGUGGUGGAGAGUAGGCAGGUGGAGGAGGAGAGUGUACUGGUGGUGGAGGGGAAUAUAUCGGUGGUGGUGAAUUAACUAGUACGGGUGGAGGUGGAGAAUGGACUGGUGGGGGAGGAGAAUGAAUUGGUGGAGGAGGAGAAUGAACUGGUGGUGGUGGAGAAUCGACUGGGGGUGGUGGUGACUGGACUGGUGGUGGUGGAGAAUG
Molecule: long non-coding RNA, 477 nt
Filed under: Lupinus mutabilis
Lineage: Eukaryota; Viridiplantae; Streptophyta; Magnoliopsida; Fabales; Fabaceae
Description: partial ncRNA
Source: RNAcentral